CGGCAACAGCUCAAAUUUGAAAUCUGGCGCAAGCCCGAGUUGUAAUUUGUAGAGGAUGCUUCUGGGUAGCGGCCGGUCUAAGUUCCUUGGAACAGGACGUCAUAGAGGGUGAGAAUCCCGUAUGUGAUUGGCUUGCACCCUCCACGUAGCUCCUUCGACGAGUCGAGUUGUUUGGGAAUGCAGCUCUAAAUGGGAGGUAAAUUUCUUCUAAAGCUAAAUACCGGCCAGAGACCGAUAGCGCACAAGUAGAGUGAUCGAAAGAUGAAAAGCACUUUGGAAAGAGAGUUAAAAAGCACGUGAAAUUGUUGAAAGGGAAGCGCCCGCAACCAGACUUUGCGGCGGUGUUCCGCCGGUCUUCUGACCGGUUCAUUCGCCGCCGUGAGGCCAUCAUCGUCUGGGGCCGCUGGAUAAGACCUUAGGAAUGUAGCUUCCCUCGGGAAGUGUUAUAGCCUCUGGUGAUGCAGCGCGCCCCGGGCGAGGUCCGCGCUUCGGCAAGGAUGAUGGCGUAAUGGUUGUCGGCGGCCCGUCUUGAAACACGGACCAAGGAGUCUAACAUCUAUGCGAGUGUUCGGGUGUCAAACCCCUACGCGUAAUGAAAGUGAACGGAGGUGGGAACUUUUUGUGCACCAUCGACCGAUCCUGAUGUCCUCGGAUGGAUUUGAGUAAGAGCAUAGCUGUUGGGACCCGAAAGAUGGUGAACUAUGCCUGAAUAGGGUGAAGCCAGAGGAAACUCUGG
RNAcentral lists this ribosomal RNA (736 nucleotides) under Pseudocercospora sp. Its description in RNAcentral is "eukaryotic LSU rRNA". It matches the Rfam family "Eukaryotic large subunit ribosomal RNA", at positions 99 to 867 of the family's 3401-position model. The record is from RNAcentral. Lineage: Eukaryota; Fungi; Ascomycota; Dothideomycetes; Mycosphaerellales; Mycosphaerellaceae.